AUACGUAGGGGGCGAGCGUUGUCCGGAAUGAUUGGGCGUAAAGGGCGCGUAGGCGGCCCGGUAAGUCUGGAGUGAAAGUCCUGUUUUUAAGAUGGGAAUUGCUUUGGAUACUGUCGGGCUUGAGUGCAGGAGAGGUAAGUGGAAUUCCCAGUGUAGCGGUGAAAUGCGUAGAGAUUGGGAGGAACACCAGUGGCGAAGGCGACUUACUGGACUGUAACUGGCGCUGAGGCGCGAAAGUGUGGGGAGCAAACAGGAUUAGAUACCCUGGUAGUCCACACUGUAAACGAUGAAUGCUAGGUGUAGGGGGUAUCGACCCCUUCUGUGCCGCAGUCAACACAAUAAGCAUUCCGCCUGGGGAGUACGGCCGCAAGGUUGAAACUCAAAGGAAUUGGCGGGG
This 397-nucleotide ribosomal RNA is filed under the name uncultured bacterium. Its description in RNAcentral is "partial 16S ribosomal RNA". It matches the Rfam family "Bacterial small subunit ribosomal RNA", at positions 523 to 918 of the family's 1533-position model. The record is from RNAcentral.